GACGUGCACAAGUCCAUGGGGCCGGAUGCGCUGCAUCCGAGCGUGCUAAAGGAGUUGGCGGAUGCAGGUAAAGAAAUGGAAGGGAACUGCUGGGAAAUGACUGCCAAAUGGAGAGUGCCCUGUGGUCCCCACGUGUGAUGCUCCACUAUGAAAGGGCAUAUUGGGCCUCCUCAGAAACCAGUGGUGCUCAGCCUGAGCAUUGUUUCCAGCCUGGGGAAGCGUCUUACUACUGACUUGAGAAAUCUGGAACUGAACAGUUGUGGGAAUGAGACAUCUGAUGAUCACUCUGUGACUGGGGCUCUGGGCACGACAGAAGCGCCCAGACUUGGCUCACCUCGAGAGGCACAGAAUAUUGGACAGCAAGUAAUUUUUGAAAAUGUAAGCAAAUAACCGUGUUCUUUACAGACAUGAAGAGGGCAUCUUCAGAGAGGCAGAAUCACAGGGGCUGUCCCAUAUGAUGGUGUCCUCAGCAGCAGAAGCCACCACAGUAUUCUGCCAGGGCUGGGCAUGCAGAACUGGGGUUGUGAGCAACUAUAGGCUGACUUCGAACCAUUCCAGCAUCAUCACUCACUUUAACCUGCAGAUGCAUCUCCAUAAAUAGCCUAGUCCAGUCAGGUGCUGGCUGAAAAUUGCGGAUCUUCCUGGAGCAGAGAACCUCACUGAGAACCUGUGGGGUGGGAGUUUAAGAGAGACGCUUCUGCUGAAGAAGUCCUUGGUGGCUUGCUACCAGUGAUUCCAAGUUGACCCAGUUGCUGGAAGAAGCCCUGGCCGGGAACAGCAAGACCAUGGUUAUUUUCUGCCUGUCUCCAACCUUGGAUUCUUGGCACCUAGCGGCUGUGCUGAAGACCUGUAUAGCUCUCUCACAAGUUAAGAACUUCCCUGUUUUAAAUGAAUACUUUGUAGAGUCAUUGCUUACUCAGUACUGGGCAAGGAUCCUGGCCCUUCAGCACCGACUAUAUGAACACAUGGAUCUUAGGAGUGCCAUGGAGAGUGAGAGCAUAAGCACCCUCCGAGAACAGGUCCAGUGCCUCACCAAUGAAAAUGUGCAGCUGCAGGAUAGGAAUGAAAGACUGUACACAAAGCUUGAAGAACUGCAGGAGAAGAUGGGGAAGCUGGCUGGUUCCAAAACAGACUUGUCAUCCAGACUGGUCUUCAGUGAGGAGGAGAAACUUAAGAUUUCUAAGGACCUCAUUGAUCUCCAGAUCGAGACAAACAAAAUGAGAGAGCAGUAUGAGGCAGAGAACUUUGAACUGAAAAAUAUGAUCCUGACCCUGGAGAACCAUAUUCUGGAGUUGGAGCUCCAUGAUGAGAAGGUCACUGGGGAGCAUGAUGCCCUACAGGAACGCCUGCACACUGUAGAGACCAAUCGCAAGGAGCUGGCUGAUGAGUACAUCAUUCUGAAAAGCAAUUAUAUGGCCCUGGGCAAAGAACAUGAACAGGAGGUUGCUAAGAAUGAAGAGCUGAGCAUAGAGCUGCUAAACCUGGUCAACCCCAGGAGCUCCCUUCCUCAGUCAUGGAGCAACAACUCCCCGUCCCAAGCGCUGGCCAAUGAAACCUCAGCUGAGCUGGAAAGGGUGCGGGCUGUGGUCCACCGCCUCUCUGCCCGGAAAGUGAAGCCAGAAGAUAUAGUUGCCUCUGAACACGAACGUCGAAAACUGGAGAGACAUAUGCUUGGAAACCAGGAUCACAUAAAAGCUGAGAUUGAAAAGAUGAAGCAAACGUAUGAUUCUCAGCAACAGAAGCUGGAACAGAGAGUGGUGGCAAUGGGGAAGGAGCUGCAGCAGUCCAAGAGAGUGAUUCGCAAUACUCAGCACAAACUGGUGGAGCAGUCAGUGGUGCUGCUCACCUCUCAGAGCCAGCUCAAAGAGGUGGAGGUUGAGAAUUCCCAACUGCAACUUCAGCUGAAGGAACUGAAUGAGGAAUAUCGCUGUCGUCUUACUCAGUACAUCAAGGACCUGGCGGAAUAUAUGGACAGUAAAUCAAAUGCUUCUAAGGUGCCUAACAAAGUACCAGCUGACCAUGCUUACAUGAAGCGCUUUGUGGAUGGCAUGGUGAAGGACAUUCGGGCUGCCCAUAAAUCUCGGGAGGAGCAGCUGGCUGGAGCUGUGCGUAGUUACAAGAAGCGCAUGCAGAACCUUGUCAAGAGGCAUGAAAACCUGCUGAUUGCUUAUAGGAUGCAGCGUGAGCAGAUCCAGUCUCAGGGCAGCAGCGAGAUGGACCCAGGCCCUCCUGAGUUCCAUUUCACCAUCACAGAUUCUGAGCUACUGACAAGCACAACCCAGGAGCUAAACCAGCUGCGAGAGGACAAAGCAAAACUAGAGACACAGCUGCAUGAACUGCAGGAGACGAAAAGACUGAGUGAAAGCUCUGCGCUAGGACCAUCUCUUCACCAGAAGAUCUGGAGAAGGAGAGAAGCCAGCUACUCACUCGGGCAAUUGUGGCAGAAGAGCAGGUGCUGGAGCUGCAGGAAUAUGUAGAUAAGCAUCUUGCAAGGUGAGAUGGGGAUCCCUUCAUCUGUCCCUUGCUCCAUGCACAAGGCUUACUUCCAGGGCUGGUGAAUACUGUGAUAACUGCUGCCUUCCCACAGCGCAACCCAGCUAAUGUUUGAAAGUGAAUCCAGCUUGUGAGCAGCUGGCUGUCUCAGUAACUCAGCACGAUCAAGGGAGUUUGCAUCUGUCCUUUCCAAGGCAUAAUAUUUCCUUCCUCUGGGCUGCAGCCCACCCUGGGGAUGAUGAAAGCUGUGUAGGAGGCUAAGGAGGGGGGUGAGUGGGGAAGACUGUCUAGAAUUCAAAGCCUUUCCAUUUUGCAACUCUUAACAUGUCGGCUGUCAACCACUGGUUCAUCACAGCCACAACAAGGGAGAAAAGCUGCUAGUGCUGCCACCAUCAGGAGGCGCUAUUACACAGCUUGUACAACUGCAACCAAUUGCUCUUAAAAACAGAGGACCAAAGUCAUAACUGGUGUAACUCCCAGGCUUGUUGCUGAUGGAAUCCCUUGGCUGAGUUCCUAGGUAUUAGUUCACAUGACAGGUUGGGACAAAUCUAGCAUUACCCUUAGCUGUAGUUUUCCCCCUGUCUGGAUAGUGUUUGGGAACUUGACUUCAGUCUCACAUUGGCUUUACAAUCUCAGUCGUCAGCAGGGUUCUUAUGACCGCAGCUGAUGCAAGGUUGACAUUGCUUUUCUUUGUAACCUAUGUUUCUUUCAGGUACAAGCAGGAGAUCCUGAGGUUAAGGAAAUUUGUAGGGAGCGAGGCACCCAGAGCAUUCAGUGCUGGGGCUUCUGAUGCUCACUUAAUGCAGAGAUCCAAAAGGACCAUCAGCCAUGAACUGUAGCUUUUGCCAUGGCCCUGACAAGCAGCAGUCAUUAGUUCAUCAUAGGAAAGACAAGGACAUAAAACUGAGUGGCUGCCUGGCUGUAAUAUUCAGUGCUCUGUCACACCAAGAGAUAAUUCACUCCAGCGAGCGCUCUUCAUACUGGGGCCCUCUUACUAAAGGACUAGGACUUGCUGAGAAGGAAAUCAGCAGUAUACAUUUGACCCUACAGAGUAAACAGUAAUGGCCCAGAAGGGGGCUGGCUCCAUGGAGAUGAGAAGUAAACACCCAAACCAAGCCAAGGACACCAAUGCCAGCAAGAUCUACAGUACAGAUCCGUUUACGUGAGGAUGGGGGGAGUCAAGCCGUCACAACUGCGUGUUAACGGACCGCGGGU
Trachemys scripta elegans is the source of this 3708-nucleotide RNA transcript. It is a transcript of the gene named coiled-coil domain containing 78, with no coding region annotated. The transcript is spliced from 19 exons. Lineage: Eukaryota; Metazoa; Chordata; Testudines; Emydidae. The record is from RefSeq and is a predicted model, not a curated record.